UGUUGAUAGGCUAUGGCUGUGGAAACCUCGUCCGCUGCUGCCUUUUGUUUUCAUGAGCACCAUCCCUGGAUAAGGGGCAGGUCCAGUUGCUAUUCUUAAGGCAGGAGGGGUGCUAAUAUUCUCAUCUGCAUCUUUCUUCAAAGCUCACCCAGCCUCUUUCAAUGGAGGCACCGGUCAUUGGUCACCAUAAACAACACACAAUCAAGAAGGAGCACACUAGAAACACGGAUUGUUUGCUUUGGAGAAAGACAUCAGGAAGGACAUAUGCAAAAUAUGAAAAACAAGUGACCAACUGUCCUCGUGGAAUAAAAUGUUAUAAACUGGAAAUUUAAAGUAGGAAAAUGCAUUCAAGACUCCAAGCUCAAGAAAUAAUUUAUCUCACCAAGUGAUACUGUAAUACGAAUGGGGACAGCCCUCUCAUUUCAGCUUCUUGAGAGAGUCUUUUAAACUACUUUUCUUCUUUUUUUUUUAAACUACUUUUGCCCUUCUAUCGUCAUCUUUUCCCAUAGCGAACCCAGCGUUUUCACCCUUACUCCUGAGUUAAGGCAUCAUCAGUUGCUGGCUGACUCACAUAGACAAGGCAACCUCUAUAUUUGUUUUUCUAUGUAGCCCCAGGUUGAGGGUCCCAAGUCAAGGUCUUAUAUAACCUGGCUGUCACCUAGAAAGCUACAUAAAGUUUGGAAAAUGUCAGAAAACUCAAGGAAAAGAGGACCGAACUAGGUGGACACAAGGUCACUCACUAUUUGUGCGGUUGUAUGUGAGAGCACAGCUGCAUUUGGGAUUUUGCAUCCAGCCUGGGGAGGUCUAAACAGAAACAAGAAGGAAGAGCAGAAUAACAACAAAAACUAGCAGAAGAGUUAAAGAGAAUGUCAGGAGGUGAGGGCAGUUAACAAGUUUCUGUUCUCACAGAAAUGUGAGAAUGUUUUAUGUUUUAUGUGAGAAUGUUACACGGUGUCAUUGAUCAAGUAAGAGUUACUCAGGUCAGCAAGUCCUCUGUCAUUAAGGAGACAAGGACUGACCAUAUUUUCUCUGUAAAGUUUUGGUCAAAAGAUUAGAAAUGCAUCCUGGAAACUGGAAGCAACCUAAAUGUUCAUACAGAAAUGGUUAAUUGAGAAGCCUAUGCAUUGUUUAAAAGGAAAGGAAGAGACCUAUAGAUUAGUGACAUGGAGAGAUGACAAUAUUUUUAGCUGAAAAAGCCUCCCACUAGUGUCUACAUACAUAUGACAUGUAAUUUGUAGUUUAUGUAUUUUAUAAAUGUCCACAAAGACAUCUGAGAUGAAAUACUAAACUUUUCCUGGGAGAUAGGAUUGCAGAGAGGACUUCUGGGGCAUAACUAUAAAUUUAUAUUUUGCUUUUUAAAAGAUAUCUAUAGAGUUUAGGCAUUUAGAUAAAUCAAGCAUAAUUUAUUUUUUGAAUUAUAUGUGUACUAAAUAAUUUAAUAAUUACAAAAGCAGCAGAGUUCUGAAAUA
Long non-coding RNA from Condylura cristata (star-nosed mole), 1469 nucleotides. RefSeq lists it as uncharacterized. The transcript has 4 exons. NCBI's taxonomy places the organism in Eukaryota, Metazoa, Chordata, Mammalia, Eulipotyphla, Talpidae. The record is from RefSeq and is a predicted model, not a curated record.